This 333-nucleotide ribosomal RNA is filed under the name uncultured Butyrivibrio sp. RNAcentral's name for it is "partial 16S ribosomal RNA". The record is from RNAcentral. Lineage: Bacteria; Bacillati; Bacillota; Clostridia; Lachnospirales; Lachnospiraceae.
GGAGUCUGGGCCGUGUCUCAGUCCCAAUGUGGCCGUCCGGCCUCUCAGCCCGGCUACUGAUCGUCGCUUUGGUGGGCCGUUACCCCGCCAACUGGCUAAUCAGACGCGGGCCCAUCCCGUACCACCGGAGUUUUUCACACUGCAUGAUGCCAUGCUGUGCGCUUAUGCGGUAUUAUCAGUCGUUUCCAACUGCUAUCCCCCGGUACGGGGCAGGUUGCCCACGCGUUACUCACCCGUUCGCCACUAAGUUACCUCAUGUUCUCUGCCGAAGCUUCAAACGGCGAAGUAACCCCGUUCGACUUGCAUGUGUUAGGCACGCCGCCAGCGUUCAUC